RNAcentral lists this long non-coding RNA (419 nucleotides) under Pan troglodytes (chimpanzee). RNAcentral describes it as "long non-coding RNA NONPTRT013953". The record is from RNAcentral. Lineage: Eukaryota; Metazoa; Chordata; Mammalia; Primates; Hominidae.
GUCUUUUUCACUGCCAUUUGGGGAAGAAUAAAAGAUUGGUCUUUAGAUUUGUAGUCAAUUUGUACAUCUGAGGUUAUGAGAGAAUUAAGCUGUACUUUUAUAAUUAUAUGCACACACCCCAUGCCCAGCUGAUUUUGUAUUUUUAGUAGAGACAGGGUUUCACCAUGUUGGCCAGGCUGAUCUCAAACUCCUGACCUCAGAUGAUCUGCCCACUUCGGCCUCCCACAGUGCCGGGAUUACGGGCAUGAGCCACUGUGCGCAAUCUGAUUUUAGAUUUCAAACAGUAUAGGAUAAAAUUGAGAGAACCAUUUGGCAAUAAAAAAUAUUAAAACUGAGUUUUGCAGAGAAGAGCAUGAUCUAUAUAUCUACUAUUAAAAACCAUUCAACUGAAUAUAUUUCCAUGGCCAUCACACCAUUAU